GACGAACGCUGGCGGCGUGCUUAACACAUGCAAGUCGAGCGGUAAGGCCCUUUCGGGGGUACACGAGCGGCGAACGGGUGAGUAACACGUGGGUGACCUGCCCUCAGCUCUGGGAUAAGCCUGGGAAACCGGGUCUAAUACCGGAUAUGACUCCAUGACGCAUGUUGUGGGGUGGAAAGCCUUGUGCGGCUGAGGAUGGGCCCGCGGCCUAUCAGCUUGUUGGUGGGGUGAUGGCCUACCAAGGCGACGACGGGUAGCCGGCCUGAGAGAGCGACCGGCCACACUGGGACUGAGACACGGCCCAGACUCCUACGGGAGGGCAGCAGUGGGGAAUCUUGCGCAAUGGGCGAAAGCCUGACGCAGCGACGCCGCGUGAGGGAUGACGGCCU
Molecule: ribosomal RNA, 389 nt
Filed under: uncultured bacterium
Lineage: Bacteria
Description: bacterial SSU rRNA
Rfam family: Bacterial small subunit ribosomal RNA
Source: RNAcentral